UUCAAAUAGCUCCGUAGGUAGAGCGUGAGACUGUUCAUCUCAAGGUCAUGGGUUUGAGCCCCAGGUCGUGGGGGAAA
Podarcis lilfordi (Lilford's wall lizard) is the source of this 77-nucleotide non-coding RNA. Lineage: Eukaryota; Metazoa; Chordata; Lepidosauria; Squamata; Lacertidae. The record is from the annotation of a GenBank genome assembly.